GAGUUUGAUCAUGGCUCAGGAUAAACGCUAGCGGCAGGCCUAAUACAUGCAAGUCGAGGGGUAAGGUUCCUUCGGGAAUACACGACCGGCGCACGGGUGCGUAACGCGUAUGCAACCUACCUGUAGCAGGGGGAUAGGCUGUGGAAACAUAGAUUAAUACCCCAUAAAGUUAUCAGAUUACCUGAUCAGAUAACCAAAACGAUAUAGUGGCUACAGAUGGGCAUGCGUCUGAUUAGCUAGUUGGUAAGUUAACAGCAUACCAAGGCGACGAUCAGUAGCGGUUCUGAGAGGAUGAUCCGCCACACUGGGACUGAGACACGGCCCAGACUCCUACGGGAGGCAGCAGUAGGGAAUAUUGGUCAAUGGGGGGAACCCUGAACCAGCCAUGCCGCGUGCAGGAAGAAAGCCUUACGGGUUUUAAACUGCUUUUUACAGGGAAGAAAUUUUCCGAUGCGUUGGAGGAUUGCCGGUACCUGUAGAAUAAGCACCGGCUAACUCCGUGCCAGCAGCCGCGGUAAUACGGAGGGUGCAAGCGUUGUCCGGA
RNAcentral lists this ribosomal RNA (544 nucleotides) under uncultured bacterium. RNAcentral describes it as "bacterial SSU rRNA". It matches the Rfam family "Bacterial small subunit ribosomal RNA", at positions 9 to 549 of the family's 1533-position model. The record is from RNAcentral.